GCCGAGGGUCUCCUGGAAACAGCCUCUCUACCCUUCGAGGUAGAGGUAAGGUCUGCGUACGUUGUUGUUGUUGUUGUUGUAUUAGGAACAAUACUAAACUAGAAUUAAGCUAUUACAAAAAUGACCACUUUCAAGUGGUGGAACUUUUAAAAUCAGCCGAAGCACUGGUCAGAUUUCUAAAUUCGUCACCAACACUUUUGGCGUGUUACUUCUUAAACCACAGACCUACAGGAAAAUUUCAGAACUUCAUGCGUAGGAAAUCCACCAAUAGCAACUCAAACCUUGACAAACAAAGAUUAAAAACAGAAUUGAUUUCAAGAUUGUCUUUACUACUUAUGUUUCAAGCAUGUAUAGGCAUUUGUCACACCAAACAUGUCAAGCUACACUCAAAUUAGCAGUCGAAUCAUGAAGGAACAUUCAACAUACAUACAAGUUAAAGAUAAUGGAGAUUUCAUAAGAAUACCACAUCCUUACACCAAUUACAUAACUUAAGAUCAGAACAUGUACCUUGAAAUGCAAUAACAGAACUUAAAAUGACCAAAUAAAGGCUAAAGUGGAGAAUAAGCUCAGCUACACAACAAGUAACCGCCACAACCAAAUACGCCAAAACAACUUCAAAUAUACACCAAGAAAUUCUAAAAGAAAAACUCAAAAGCUGAAGAGCCCCUUUCUUUUUUGGUUUGAAGUUUUUGUCUGUAUCCAAUUUGAAUCCCUUUUUAGUGUUUUUCUUUUGAGAGAAGUUAAUAUUGAAUGAAAAAACGUGAGUCUUUCUACCCAAAAUUCCCUCUGUUAUAUAGAGUGUAGGAGUUGUACUAUAUGAGAGAAAAUGGGAGAGGAUAUAGGGAAUAUGUUAGCUAAAAAUUAGGGGGGAGGGCAUAUGUUUUUUAACGGAAAAUGGGCAACUAUCCUAUUUUAGCAUCUUAUCUAACAAUUGUCCCUAUUAACUUCUAAGUAUGAACUUUUUUUACCCCAAUCUGACCUAAUUGUUGUAUUUUAGUCCCUCUCUUAUCUCUAGAACCUUAUCAAACAGUUAUAACCUAAGAUUCUCUCAGAUUUAACUAAAUUGCUCUUUCAGCCUUCUGUAAUUACCCCUCCCUUUUUACUUUCCGACUCAAUUACUAUUAUCUUUUAACCUUUUCUUGUUAUUCAAUUAUUCCCAAUUCUUAAUCAAACAAACUUGAAUUAAUUAUACUAAGACUGAACUGAAUCAGCAAACUAACAAAACCAACGACAAACGAUCCAAGCUAGAGACUAAACAACCACAGAAUUAUGAGCAAAUUAAUAGCUAAGCAAAUAAUUUCCAAAUGGGAUAAACAAUGUGGUAAUUACUUCACAACUAAACGAACUAAACAAAAACAACAAAAAAAGAGGAAAAGCGCGAAAAAGAAAGUAACUGAACCUUACCAAAAGAUCGACGCAUGUUCUACGCUAUUUGAUCACCCCAAAGGUCUUUUCCUCCAAGGAAUCUAGCCCGAAAUGAAAUUUUGGCCGGAUUUUCUUGGAAAAAAAGACUCAUGAGAGUCAAAACCAUCAGUGAAACAAGGUAAUCUUGCACAAACAAACCCCAAAAACUCAGAUGUUGAAGCUAAAAUCUAGGCUUUCUAGUAUUCUAAGAUCUAAAAACUUGAGGAAUCUAGACGUUUUUAGAAGAAAUUAGAUGGUGAUAUGGGACAAAGAUGAGGUGUAGAUUAUGGGGUAAAGAUUUUGGGUUGUUUGGUUAGUGGCCGCCGAUGGAGGAAUCUGGGGUGGCUAGGGUUUUGAGAGUGGUGAGGAAUGAAGGGGUUUGUUUAAGGUUUGGAGGGCUGGGCUAGGAUAGUUAUAUGGGGGAAGGGUAAUU
This 1837-nucleotide long non-coding RNA is filed under the name Nicotiana tabacum (common tobacco). RNAcentral describes it as "long non-coding RNA (NTAB_LNC005241)". The record is from RNAcentral. Lineage: Eukaryota; Viridiplantae; Streptophyta; Magnoliopsida; Solanales; Solanaceae.